Molecule: long non-coding RNA, 1365 nt
Organism: Gallus gallus (chicken)
Lineage: Eukaryota; Metazoa; Chordata; Aves; Galliformes; Phasianidae
Source: Ensembl
CUUCUGCAGAGCUCGUGGCCAAUGCAAAGCGUUUGCACCAGGCCAGGGAGCAGCCGGGCACCUCCAGCAGCCAGAGUGAGCUGCAGUGAGCGACCUGCUAGGGAAAUACAGCAACCUGCUAGGGAAACCGAGCACCCGCUCCUUUGAAGUUAAUGAAUCGUGAAAGCCUUUGAAAGCAGAGCUUUGUUUAUUUACUCCCGGCAUCUCAUGCCGACGAGGCACACACACAUCCCAAGCGCACCGCUAAUUUGAGUGAAAGAUCAAAUGUGAGGCUCCUGCAGCCGCUGGGACAGCGAGGGCAGCCCCGGCCCCUCCAUGGGGCACUGCCCAACACGGGCAAAUGGGAGAGAGCCCAACGCAGAGCCGGAGCAGCUGAAGCGACACCUGGGGCUGCCAACCGGAUCGUGCCAAGGAAAGCAUCAGCAGAAGGAAUCAGGCUGACGGAGAUGUUUUGCACGUCAGACGUAAAGCACUGUGAAUCAGGACCCAAAGGCACUGCCCAGCACCUACACUCAGCCCCGAGCCCCCAGCAGACACCCAGCAUCCCCCUUGCCUGUGUCUCCUGCCCAGCCCUGAGCUCUGCCCAGCGCCACAGCACAGCCAAACAACCCCAGGGCUGCGGCAGCCGGCACCCUGCUCUGCCCUUCCCACAGCAGCAGGAUGCGGUGAGCUCCAUCUCUUCUCUUUGAGUGAGAACAAUCCACGGAACAGCAACAGCACCGACAACUCAGCCUGGCUCUGCCGGACGGCGCUGGGGCAGCCCAGGGGCAGACAGAGUCCUGCAGCAGCCCCGUCCCCGCUCCGAGCAGCGGUGCCCCAACGCGCUGCCUGCUGAUGGGGCUCCCGCACGAACGCCCAACCUCCCACAAUAGCCUAUAAAUACCGGCCUUUUCAGCGCAAUAGCUUCGUGAACAAGCUGUAAUGCAAUAUUUCACUGAGGCUCUCAGACAAAAGGACGGCACCCCACCGGCUCUCGCUUUCUGCUGCUGCAGUUUUCAGAAGUAUAAUUGGAUUAUAACCAAGCGCGAGGCUCUAGCCCCAGUUUCUCCCAGGCCAGCGAAGUCGCUGUCUGAUCUCUAACAACGGGAGUCGGAAGGAAGGAGCAGAAAGCUCGCUGGGCAGAGGGGAGGGGAGGCUGAGGGCUCCGGCACUGCCGAAAGCCCUUCAGCAGACACCGAGAUUUGCGGUCCCAGCAAAUAAUAAUUAGGCGUACUGGGAAGAGCCACCAACGAGAGAGAGGCGACCCACUUAAGGCCGAUGCCUUCACCGUCAGGGCGUGGGAGGGCUGGCGGGCAGGGCUCACAGGGAAAGGGGAGCUCCAAGGUGAGGCAGCCGCACCGCACACCUCCCCCGCGCGGUGGCUGC